AAUGAACGCUGGCGGCAGGCCUAACACAUGCAAGUCGAACGGAUCCUUCGGGAUUAGUGGCGGACGGGUGAGUAACGCGUGGGAACAUACCCAAAGGUACGGAAUAGCCUCGGGAAACUGGGAGUAAUACCGUAUGUGCUCGAAAGAGGAAAGAUUUAUCGCCUUUGGAUUGGCCCGCGUUAGAUUAGGUAGUUGGUGGGGUAAUGGCCUACCAAGCCGACGAUCCAUAGCUGGUUUGAGUGGAUGAUCAGCCACACUGGGACUGAGACGCGGCCCAUACUCCUACGGGAGGCAGCAGUGGGGAAUCUUAAACAAUGGGGGAAACCCUGAUCUAGCCAUGCCGCGUGAUCGAUGAAGGCCUUAGGGUUUUAAAGAUCUUUCAGGUGGGAAGAUAAUGACUGUACCACCAGAAGAAGCCCCGGCUAACUCCGUGCCAGCCGCCGCCGUAA
Molecule: ribosomal RNA, 449 nt
Filed under: uncultured bacterium
Lineage: Bacteria
Description: partial 16S ribosomal RNA
Rfam family: Bacterial small subunit ribosomal RNA
Source: RNAcentral